RNAcentral lists this microRNA precursor (92 nucleotides) under Cavia porcellus (domestic guinea pig). Its description in RNAcentral is "microRNA 21 (ENSCPOG00000017250.3)". The stretch from base 11 to 82 matches the Rfam family "mir-21 microRNA precursor family". RNAcentral also lists the same sequence under 2 other names. The record is from RNAcentral. Lineage: Eukaryota; Metazoa; Chordata; Mammalia; Rodentia; Caviidae.
UGUACCACCUUGUCGGGUAGCUUAUCAGACUGAUGUUGACUGUUGAAUCUCAUGGCAACAGCAGUCGAUGGGCUGUCUGACAUUCUGGUAUC